CGCAGCCGGAGAUAUCGUUGAAAGGAAGUGCGCAUGUCCGAGUUGGGCUCGCCUGCGCCAUUUUGUAAGAAGUUCAGAUUCCCAUUUCAGGCUGGGCGAGCCGGGGAGAGCGGAGGGUGGAAAUCGAAGGAGGCCCUGUUGCUUCACAUUCAUUGUUGGUGUGACUCCAUGAUUAUGAGCAUACAUGCUGCUGAGUAACAAGGUUUUGGAAGGACUGAAAAAAAUGGAAACUCCCACAUCACCUCUGCCAGUGGCGAUCUGCAUGCCAUUGCAUCAAACCCAGCUUUGUCUUGAAUUCAAGAGGAACGUUGCGGCCUCCACCUUGAUGAAAGUUUGCUCAUUUGCCCCUGACUGAAUGCUCACGUCUUUCUUUGAUCUCUGAAUUGCUGCCGUCUGAUGGAUUUCAGACUGAUCACCUCAUAGGCAAUGCAAACAAUGGGCACAUUACACAGUUUGAGAAAUCUGGCAAUGGCCACGCCAACUGGACUGUGAACAUCCCAGUGGAUGAAGGAGAGAUGCCUGCUGAUGAGCGUAGGUGUAGGCCUCAACAGCAGAUGUGUCACAUGUAUUGUUUGACACUCUGCACAAACUAAACAGUUCAGCAGCUAAAUGCUUAACGAAAUUGAGAGCUCUUUGAAAUUCUCAAAACAACUUGCUGCUGCCAUCUUGACUUUGUUCUAAAAGAGUUACUUCUCACCGCUCCGUUGAUGCCAUUUUUUUUUUUUUUGCCUGUAUGUGUCAACUUUUUAAAUGUCAAAGAAUUGAAGGUGAGGGGUCCUAACCCUGCACGGUUCUUUUUGAUUUUUCUGAGAAUGUUAGAAAAAGACUUAAUUACUAAGAGUGUUAAAAAGGCAGAAAAGUGGCUGCGUAAACUGAGGGGAACAAACACGGUAGCUGUGAGCAGCCUGGCACUCCAGAGGAUGAUGAGGAGCACAGAUGUGAUGGCAGCUUCUGUUCUCUUAAUUUUGCCAGUGGAAUCCCACUGCAGUUGGUCUACACAAUGCCAAGUCAUGGACCCCCACUGGAUGAGUGCCGAACAAGGACUUUGGAGGGGAUCCUGUUUAGUGUUUUAACAAUGGCAUUUAGCCACAAUGGAAUUUCUCUUCUUGUGCAGAAAUGGUUAGCUCCAGGUAAGUUUUUCCAUAACUUGUACAAAAACACUGCAGAAAGAAUCAA
Erpetoichthys calabaricus (reedfish) is the source of this 1176-nucleotide long non-coding RNA. RefSeq lists it as uncharacterized. The transcript is spliced from 3 exons. NCBI's taxonomy places the organism in Eukaryota, Metazoa, Chordata, Cladistia, Polypteriformes, Polypteridae. The record is from RefSeq and is a predicted model, not a curated record.